This 209-nucleotide unclassified non-coding RNA is filed under the name uncultured fungus. Its description in RNAcentral is "sequence contains ITS1, 5.8S rRNA gene". Lineage: Eukaryota; Fungi. The record is from RNAcentral.
UUAGUUUAUUUAAAUAUUUUCAGAUUUAACAUGGUUAAAAGAGUUUGUUAAGGGCUAUUGACGAGCACUGGCCAGGGGUUCAAAAACUCCCGGCGGUCCUGUUAAAGACGGGCCCGCCAAAGCAACAUGGUAGUUAUACAAAGGGUUGGAGAUCGGGCCUGGAAGACCCUAACUCAUUAAUGAUCCUUCCGCAGGUUCACCUACGGAAA